This 426-nucleotide ribosomal RNA is filed under the name Peltogasterella gracilis. Its description in RNAcentral is "partial 16S ribosomal RNA". Lineage: Eukaryota; Metazoa; Arthropoda; Thecostraca; Peltogastridae. The record is from RNAcentral.
AAAAACAUUUUUUUACGGAGGAUAAAAUAGGACCUGCUCACUGUUAAAUAAAGAGCUGCAGUAUUUUAACUGUGCUAAGGUAGCAUAAUAAUUUGUUUUUUAAUUGAGAACUGGAAUGAAAGGUUUAACGAUAUUUUUGCUUUUUUAAUUGAUUAUUUUGAAUUUUAAUUUAAAGUGAAAAUUCUUUAGUGUUCUUAAAAGACGAGAAGACCCUUAGAAUUUAACUAUUUAUUUUAAAGAAAAUUUACUAUUAAGUUAUUUUGGGAGAUUUAGUUUGGCUGGGGCGGUUUGAGAGUAUUUAAUUAACCUUUUUUAAAUUUAACUUUUAUUAAGUAGGGUUUGAACCUCUUUAGGGGAUUAGAGUUAAUUACCUUAGGGAUAACAGCGUAAUCUGAUUUUGGAGUUCAUAUUUACAAUCAGGUUUGU